GGAAAGUUGUCAGAGUGGCUUAUUGUGAUUGGUUGCUAACCAAUUGGUGCGAUUACGCAUCCACAGGUUCGAAUCCUGUACUUUCCUCCA
Molecule: transfer RNA, 90 nt
Filed under: Bacillus cereus
Lineage: Bacteria; Bacillati; Bacillota; Bacilli; Caryophanales; Bacillaceae
Description: tRNA-Ser
Rfam family: tRNA
About the family: Transfer RNA (tRNA) molecules are approximately 80 nucleotides in length. Their secondary structure includes four short double-helical elements and three loops (D, anti-codon, and T loops).
Source: RNAcentral